GGUUGUGGCUCAGUGGCAGAGCGCUUGCUUAUCAUGCAUGAGGCACUGGGUUUGAUCCCCCAUACCA
RNAcentral lists this transfer RNA (67 nucleotides) under Marmota monax (woodchuck). RNAcentral describes it as "tRNA.Asp". Lineage: Eukaryota; Metazoa; Chordata; Mammalia; Rodentia; Sciuridae. The record is from RNAcentral.